CAGCAGCCGCGGUAAAACCAGCACCUCGAGUGGUCAGGAUGAUUAUUGGGCCUAAAGCAUCCGUAGCCGGCUCUGUAAGUUUUCGGUUAAAUCUGUACGCUUAACGUACAGGCUGCCGGGAAUACUGCAAAGCUAGGGAGUGGGAGAAGUAGACGGUACUCGGUAGGAAGUGGUAAAAUGCUUUGAUCUAUCGAUGACCACCUGUGGCGAAGGCGGUCUACUAGAACACGUCCGACGGUGAGGGAUGAAAGCUGGGGGAGCAAACCGGAUUAGAUACCCGGGUAGUCCCAGCUGUAAACUAUGCAAACUCAGUGAUGCAUUGGCUUGUGGCCAAUGCAGUGCUGCAGGGAAGCCGUUAAGUUUGCCGCCUGGGAAGUACGUACGCAAGUAUGAAACUUAAAGGAAUUGGCGGGGGAGCAC
Molecule: ribosomal RNA, 420 nt
Filed under: uncultured Nitrososphaerota archaeon
Lineage: Archaea; Thermoproteati; Nitrososphaerota
Description: bacterial SSU rRNA
Rfam family: Archaeal small subunit ribosomal RNA
Source: RNAcentral